RNAcentral lists this ribosomal RNA (897 nucleotides) under uncultured Chaetothyriales. Its description in RNAcentral is "SSU rRNA". It matches the Rfam family "Eukaryotic small subunit ribosomal RNA", at positions 238 to 1140 of the family's 1831-position model. The record is from RNAcentral. Lineage: Eukaryota; Fungi; Ascomycota; Eurotiomycetes; Chaetothyriales.
GCUCCUUGGUGAUUCAUAAUAACUAAACGAAUCGCAUGGCCUUGCGCCGGCGAUGGUUCAUUCAAAUUUCUGCCCUAUCAACUUUCGAUGGUAGGAUAGUGGCCUACCAUGGUCUCAACGGGUAACGGGGAAUUAGGGUUCUAUUCCGGAGAGGGAGCCUGAGAAACGGCUACCACAUCCAAGGAAGGCAGCAGGCGCGCAAAUUACCCAAUCCCAAUUCGGGGAGGUAGUGACAAUAAAUACUGAUACAGGGCUCUUUUGGGUCUUGUAAUUGGAAUGAGUACAAUCUAAAUCCCUUAACGAGGAACAAUUGGAGGGCAAGUCUGGUGCCAGCAGCCGCGGUAAUUCCAGCUCCAAUAGCGUAUAUUAAAGUUGUUGCCGUUAAAAAGCUCGUAGUUGAACCUUGGGCCUGGCUGAUCUGUCCUCCUAAUCGAGCGCACGGAUUCGGUCGGGCCUUUCCUUCUGGGGAGCCCGAUGUCCUUCACUGGGCGUCGCGGGGAACCAGGACUUUUACCUUGAAAAAAUUAGAGUGUUCAAAGCAGGCCUUUGCUCGAAUACAUUAGCAUGGAAUAAUAGAAUAGGACAGAGGUUCUAUUUUGUUGGUUUCUAGGACCGCUGUAAUGAUUAAUAGGGAUAGUCGGGGGCGUCCGUAUUCAAUUGUCAGAGGUGAAAUUCUUGGAUUUAUUGAAGACGAACUACUGCGAAAGCAUUCGCCAAGGAUGUUUUCAUUAAUCAGUGAACGAAAGUUAGGGGAUCGAAGACGAUCAGAUACCGUCGUAGUCUUAACCAUAAACUAUGCCGACUAGGGAUCGGACGGUGGUUUUUUUAUGCCCCGUUCGGCACCUUACGAGAAAUCAAAGUUUUUGGGCUCGGGGGGGAGUAUGGUCGCAAGGCUGA